Molecule: ribosomal RNA, 465 nt
Filed under: uncultured bacterium
Lineage: Bacteria
Description: bacterial SSU rRNA
Rfam family: Bacterial small subunit ribosomal RNA
Source: RNAcentral
CAAGUGGUGGAGCAUGUGGUUUAAUUCGAUGAUACGCGAGGAACCUUACCUAGGCUAGAAUGCGCGUGACCGCCUCAGAGAUGAGGCUUUCCUUCGGGACGCAAAGCAAGGUGCUGCAUGGCCGUCGUCAGCUCGUGCCGUGAGGUGUUGGGUUAAGUCCCGCAACGAGCGCAACCCCUAUGUUUAGUUGCCAGCGGGUCAUGCCGGGGACUCUAGACAGACUGCCUGCGCAAGCAGUGAGGAAGGCGGGGACGACGUCAGGUCAUCAUGGCCCUUACGCCUAGGGCUACACACGUGCUACAAUGGACGGUACAGCGGGUUGCCAACCAGCGAUGGUGCGCCAAUCCCGAAAAGCCGUUCUCAGUUCGGAUCGGAGUCUGCAACUCGACUCCGUGAAGCUGGAAUCACUAGUAAUCGCGUAUCAGCAAUGACGCGGUGAAUACGUUCCCGGGCCUUGUACACACC